AACGAACGCUGGCGGCAGGCUUAACACAUGCAAGUCGAGCGCGUAGCAAUACGAGCGGCAGACGGGUGAGUAACGCGUGGGAAUCUACCGUACCCUAUGGAAUAGCUCCGGGAAACUGGAAGUAAUACCAUAUACGCCCGAAAGGGGAAAGAUUUAUCGGGGUAUGAUGAGCCCGCGUUGGAUUAGCUAGUUGGUGGGGUAAAGGCCUACCAAGGCGACGAUCCAUAGCUGGUCUGAGAGGAUGAUCAGCCACAUUGGGACUGAGACACGGCCCAAACUCCUACGGGAGGCAGCAGUGGGGAAUAUUGGACAAUGGGGGCAACCCUGAUCCAGCCAUGCCGCGUGAGUGAUGAAGGUCUUAGGAUUGUAAAGCUCUUUCACCGAUGAAGAUAAUGACGGUAGUCGGAGAAGAAGCCCCGGCAAACUUCGUGCCAGCAGCCGCAGUAA
Molecule: ribosomal RNA, 447 nt
Filed under: uncultured bacterium
Lineage: Bacteria
Description: partial 16S ribosomal RNA
Rfam family: Bacterial small subunit ribosomal RNA
Source: RNAcentral